This 448-nucleotide ribosomal RNA is filed under the name uncultured bacterium. RNAcentral describes it as "bacterial SSU rRNA". It matches the Rfam family "Bacterial small subunit ribosomal RNA", at positions 329 to 794 of the family's 1533-position model. The record is from RNAcentral.
CGCCAGACUCCUACGGGAGGCAGCAGUGGGGAAUAUUGCACAAUGGGGGAAACCCUGAUGCAGCGACGCCGCGUGAGUGAAGAAGUAUUUCGGUAUGUAAAGCUCUAUCAGCAGGGAAGAAAAUGACGGUACCUGACUAAGAAGCCCCGGCUAACUACGUGCCAGCAGCCGCGGUAAUACGUAGGGGGCAAGCGUUAUCCGGAUUUACUGGGUGUAAAGGGAGCGUAGACGGCAUGGCAAGUCAGAUGUGAAAGCCCGGGGCUCAACCCCGGGACUGCAUUUGAAACUGUCAGGCUGGAGUGCAGGAGAGGUAAGUGGAAUUCCUAGUGUAGCGGUGAAAUGCGUAGAUAUUAGGAGGAACACCAGUGGCGAAGGCGGCUUACUGGACUGUAACUGACGUUGAGGCUCGAAAGCGUGGGGAGCAAACAGGAUUAGAUCCCCUAGUAAA